RNAcentral lists this long non-coding RNA (1152 nucleotides) under Salmo salar (Atlantic salmon). RNAcentral describes it as "lncRNA (ENSSSAG00000112476.1)". Lineage: Eukaryota; Metazoa; Chordata; Actinopteri; Salmoniformes; Salmonidae. The record is from RNAcentral.
CUAGCUGAAUCAGAUAUGUUAAAUUAGGGUUGGACUGAAAACCUACAGGACAGUAGAUCUCCAGGAAGAGGGUUGGGCAGACCUGCCCUAGGUGGAAGUUGUUCCACCUCAGAGAACAAACCAUCAGAAAGAGGAAGAGACAUCAAUAAACAUAGACCUUCAGGGAUCCAACCAGUAACAGUCGGACCAAAGCACCUUUCAAAACAAAGAUGAAGUCAAAUAAUAAGGUAUCAGAGAGAAAACAUGACACUUCCUGAUGUCAGAUUCUAUAAGAAUCAUAAAAGGACAAACUAAUUAAAUGUUUCUAAAAGUAACAUAAUAAAAAAAAAAAAACAGGCACUCAGAUGUGGCAGGGUUAGCAAACCACCACGGAUUACAGCCCAAUACAUCACCCGGGCAGAGCUCCCUGCUAUCCAGGACCACUAUACCAGGCGGUGUCAAGAGGAAGGUCCCAAAAAUAGUGAAAGACUCGAGCAACCACAGUGCACCACGUCUGGAACCAACACAACCCUGAACAGCUUCUAUAACCAAGCCUUAAGACUGCUAAACAAGACCGCUAAAUAGCUCUUCAAAUGGCUACCCGGACUUGUGGAUUAACUAUGUACACAAUGGACUAUCAGACAUACAGUACUUACACUGACAACACACACACACACACACCAAAUACGCUACUGCCAAUGUACUGUCUAUCAUCUAUCCUAAGAGCGCACACACACGGGACUCUCAGACAUGCAGUACUUCACUGACAACACACGCCCACACACCAAAAGCUCUGCUGCCAAUGUACUGUCUUAUCUAUCCAAGGCACACACACACACACACACACACACACACCCGACAGGAUUCGUUUUGAAGAUAAAUUAACCAGAACCAUUCCUUUUAAAGAAGAUGUCUUGACUGGAAAAUAGGUUGAUUUGUGUGAUUGAAAUUGUUAAAACUGACACCCUGUUGUUUAAACACAACUAGCUACCCUGUUUCACCUUGGAUUCACACACUUCACAGGAUGCUAAUGGACCAACUGUCUCAGAAUUCACUGGAAACAGAAAGUACGCCUUUGGCUGGGACCAGCCGAGUCUGAGAUGAGAUAGACGUGUUCCAAACUACACUAAAACAUGUCAGUCAUUACCCUGGCCAUAGAAAAGACAGACUGGG